RNAcentral lists this ribosomal RNA (460 nucleotides) under uncultured bacterium. RNAcentral's name for it is "partial 16S ribosomal RNA". It matches the Rfam family "Bacterial small subunit ribosomal RNA", at positions 338 to 795 of the family's 1533-position model. The record is from RNAcentral.
CCUACGGGAGGCAGCAGUGAGGAAUAUUGGUCAAUGGACGAGAGUCUGAACCAGCCACGUAGCGUGAAGGAUGACUGCCCUAUUGGUUGUAAACUUCUUUUAUAAAGGAAUAAAACGAGGCACGUGUGCCUUUUUGCAUGUGCUUUAUGAAUAAGGAUCGGCUAACUCCGUGCCAGCCGCCGCGGUAAUACGGAGGAUGCGAGCGUUAUCCGGAUUUAUUGGGUUUAAAGGGUGCGUAGAUGGGUUGUUAAGUCAGUGGUGAAAGUUUGCGGCUCAACCAUAAAAUUGCAAUUGAUACUGGCAGACUUGAGUACGGUUGAGGUAAGCGGAAUUCGUGGUGUAGCGGUGAAAUGCAUAGAUAUAACGAAGAACCCCGAUAGCGAAGGCAGCUUACUAGGCUUUUACUGACACUGAAGCACGAAAGCGUGGGGAGCAAACAGGAUUAGAUACCCUAGUAGUC